Molecule: long non-coding RNA, 2426 nt
Filed under: Gallus gallus (chicken)
Lineage: Eukaryota; Metazoa; Chordata; Aves; Galliformes; Phasianidae
Source: RNAcentral
GUGGCCGAGGCGCAGCAGUGUUUGUGCCUCCCGCACCAGACAGGCGCGCACCGCCGCCUCGUCCACCGCCGGCACCACGUACUUGUUGAAGCUGCAGUAGGAGCAGUGCUUGCGGCAGUAGGGCCAGUGCACGUAGAGAGCGGCUGUCGCGGGCCCCGCCGGUUCGGGGCCGGGAUCGGAGGGCUCCGAGGCCGACCUCAGCCCCGCAGCGCAGCCCGGACCCAUCCCGCGUGGCCGCGCCGCCCCGAGCCCCGCACGGAGGCCCCGCACCGCCAUCGCGCAGCGCAGCGCAGCGCACCGCCCCCGUUCCGCCCCGGGCGCCGCGCGAGGUUCCGUUUUCCGGACACCGCCUCGUCUUACUUGAACUGAGCGCGCGGCUGCCGCGCGUUAAUGACUGCAGCCUUUAAUUAAUUACACGUUCGAAUGGCGUCUGACGCGCGGCCUGAGCGACAGCGCGACGGGAAACGGCUCUGCGCGGCCGGGAAGGUCCGGGUCGGGCGUGAGCGGAAAACCUCCGCCCGGAGGCGGUGCGGCCCCGGCCCUGGAGCAGCCCUGGAGCAGCCCCGGAGCCCCGGGAUGGGAGCGCUCCGCCCGCGGCGGGGACGGGAACUGCGUGACCUUUACGGUCCCCUCCGCCCCCGCCCCGCCCCCCCCGCUCCACGAUCCCACGACGUUCCCGAGAUCCCAGCCGAGCCCACGCUGCGCCCCACCGCCACCCCCUGCGCCCAGCGGGGCUCAGCCCGAGGGACGCGCCGGGCGGUGGGAAAGGAGGUGGGGAGGAGGGGAGGUGGGCCCGGGGCUGUUCUGCUUCCCGCGCCCCAGGAAGGAGGCACCGCUUCGUGCUCCCACCUGCGGGCGGUGUUGGGGGCAUUCCGCCGGGACGGCGCUGACAUCGCUGCGUGCAGCCCCGGCCCGCCCCCCCUCUGCCCCCCCUCCCCGCUGCCCCCGCAGUCCCCACGGCUGCGGGAGGAGACGGAACCGCCGCGUUUCUCCGCUCGCGGUUGUGCAAAGCUGGCGCUGCCGGUCCAAAGCGUCGUAUUUUCUUAAUUUGCGCUAUUAAUAGAAGUGGAGAAGUGAGAAAGGUCUGCGACAAAGGGAGGGGAAAGCCGGCACCGCAGAUUCCCGUUCUCAGGCCGACGUCACCCUCUCCUCCCCGGAUCCCACAGCGGGGAGUUUCCCAGCUGGCUGCGAGGCCUAUAAGGUGGGGAUGGGCUGCAGCUGCACAGAUCACGUAUGGGCUCCGUGACCGAUGUGAUGCGGAGAGCUCUGAUGUGCAUUCAUGGUAUUGUGGUGAGUGCCUGCGGAGCGGGGCUGCGGCUGAACGCGAGCAGUGAUCCCAAAGCCAUGAGGUGGCCGUGGGAUGGGAAGGCGUUGGGGCUGCGAUAUGGGUGGGUGCUGCGCCCCGAGGCGGGCAGUGCACGGCUGGCAGCUCGUGUAUGCAGAUGGUGCGGGGCCAGGAAUAGGGCUGAUGGGGUCUGCAUCCCUCUGUGCUGACUGUAACCUCUGCUUGGGGCUUCUCUGCAGUCUGUUUACCCACACAAGGCAGGAUUGAUUUCAUCUUCAUCUCAUAGCAGCCAAGCUCAGGGAUCCCACACCCAGGAAGCACCUACGGACAACAGUCAUCUCACUGGGAGGGUCUGCUUCCAUGGGUAGAUCCCACAGUCCAGCUGGGAGAGCCAAAACUGACCUCACUGACGCUUCAUCGCUCCCCCUUUGCACCACCGCUCCUCACCCAUCAGAGGAUGAGGCUCAGCUGCUUCAGGAGGUGGAAAGAGGUUGGUGAGAGUUGGUUGCAGUGUAACCUGCAGCCCAGCUGGCAUGGGCCACUCGACGGGAGGGGAAAGGAGCUCCGCUCUGCAGCUUCUCGUCGUAGUGUUUCAUGGUUGGGAGGUACCAAACUCCCGUAAAAACGCUGUCCCAGGUUUGCUCUGCUUUACACUUCUCAUGGGACAGAAAGUUUGGUAUUUCUGUACAAUGCUUACUGUCUGUCUUAUCCAAAGCAACAAAAAUAAACACCAUUAAGUCCGUGUUGGCGAAGUUUAUUUGCGGGUCAGAAGGCCCCUUGGGAGGCCUGGGAACAGGGCUAGCAUCUCCAGCCAGCUAUGGGGAGCCACUUCCUACGGAAAGCCUUUCUGCCUAAAGCCUCUGCCCUUCACUUCAAGUUUAUCAGGUGUGCCAUUUCAGUGGGUGAUUUAUAUGCCCUAUGAAUCCCAACAGCACCCAAGCAGAGAAGGCAUUCACCAGGUGAGGCUGUUGUGACCUCAAAUAUUAGUAAAAAUAGGAAAAAUGUGUUUCCAGCAUCUGUUCAGGCCCAGAAAGUCCUCUGAAAUGGCUGUAGGCAAGUUGCUCAAAGAGAAGCAAGACUUGGCAACCUUCAUGAAGUCUCAGAGUAACAGGACAGAGUUCCAGAAGUAAGCAUCUUUUCC